CUGCCCUCCGCAGGGGGAUAACCCGGAGAAAUCCGGACUAAUACCGCGUGGUACACCAGUGGGGCAUCCCACGGGUGUUAAAAGGAAGCGAUUCCGGCGGAGGAUGGGCAUGCGGCGCAUUAGCUUGUUGGCGGGGUAACGGCCCACCAAGGCGACGAUGCGUAGGGGUUCUGAGAGGAAGGUCCCCCACACUGGUACUGAGACACGGACCAGACUCCUACGGGAGGCAGCAGUGAGGAAUAUCGGUCAAUGGGCGGGAGCCUGAACCAGCCAAGUCGCGUGAGGGAAGACGGUCCUAUGGAUUGUAAACCUCUUUAGGCGGGGAGCAAUGCCGGGCACGCGUGCCCGGAGGGAGAGUACCCGCAGAAUAAGCAUCGGCUAACUCCGUGCCAGCAGCCGCGGUAAUACGGAGGAUGCGAGCGUUAUCCGGAUUUAUUGGGUUUAAAGGGUGCGUAGGCGGAUUUUUAAGUCAGCGGUAAAAUGUCCGGGCUCAACCCGGGCCGGCCGUUGAAACUGGGGAUCUUGAGUGGGCGAGAAGUAUGCGGAAUGCGUGGUGUAGCGGUGAAAUGCAUAGAUAUCACGCAGAACUCCGAUUGCGAAGGCAGCAUACCGGCGCCCGACUGACGCUGAGGCACGAAAGCGUGGGGAUCGAACAGGAUUAGAUACCCUGGUAGUCCACGCAGUAAACG
RNAcentral lists this ribosomal RNA (689 nucleotides) under uncultured bacterium. RNAcentral's name for it is "bacterial SSU rRNA". It matches the Rfam family "Bacterial small subunit ribosomal RNA", at positions 126 to 808 of the family's 1533-position model. The record is from RNAcentral.